AGAGUUUGAUCCUGGCUCAGGAUGAACGCUAGCGGCAGGCUUAACACAUGCAAGUCGAGGGGCAGCGCGGGGUAGCAAUACUCUGGCGGCGACCGGCGGAAGGGUGCGUAACACGUGAGCGACUUGCCCGUCACAGGGAGAUAACCGGCGGAAACGGCGACUAAUAUCCCAUAUGAUCCGAUGCUACAUGGCGUGGGAUUGAAAGAUUCAUCGGUGACGGAUAGGCUCGCGGGACAUUAGCUAGACGGCGGGGCAACGGCCCACCGUGGCGACGAUGUCUAGGGGUUCUGAGAGGAAGAUCCCCCACACUGGAACUGAGACACGGUCCAGACUCCUACGGGAGGCAGCAGUGAGGAAUAUUGGUCAAUGGGCGGAAGCCUGAACCAGCCAUGCCGCGUGAAGGAAUAAGGCCCUAUGGGUCGUAAACUUCUUUAGACGCAGAGCAAUAAGGUCCACGAGUGGAUCGAUGAGAGUAUGCGUAGAAUAAGCAUCGGCUAACUCCGUGCCAGCAGCCGCGGUAAUACGGGGGAUGCGAGCGUUAUCCGGAUUUAUUGGGUUUAAAGGGUGCGUAGGCGGCAAGGUAAGUCAGCGGUGAAAGACCAGGGCUCAACUCUGGAAGUGCCGUUGAUACUGUCUGGCUAGAAUGAUUCCGCCGUGGGAGGAAUGAGUAGUGUAGCGGUGAAAUGCAUAGAUAUUACUCAGAACACCGAUUGCGAAGGCAUCUCACGAGGGGUUUAUUGACGCUGAGGCACGAAAGCGUGGGGAUCGAACAGGAUUAGAUACCCUGGUAGUCCACGCAGUAAACGAUGAUGGCUAACUGUCGGGCCUUCGGGUUCGGCGGCCAAGCGAAAGCGAUAAGCCAUCCACCUGGGGAGUACGACCGCAAGGUUGAAACUCAAAGGAAUUGACGGGGGCCCGCACAAGCGGAGGAACAUGUGGUUUAAUUCGAUGAUACGCGAGGAACCUUACCCAGGCUCGAACGGCAUCUGAAUCGUCCAGAGAUGGGCGAGUCUUCGGACAGAUGUCGAGGUGCUGCAUGGUUGUCGUCAGCUCGUGCCGUG
This 1061-nucleotide ribosomal RNA is filed under the name human gut metagenome. RNAcentral describes it as "bacterial SSU rRNA". It matches the Rfam family "Bacterial small subunit ribosomal RNA", at positions 8 to 1069 of the family's 1533-position model. The record is from RNAcentral.